CAGACACAUCUCCAGGAACUGUGUUUUUGUUGGCUGCAAUGUGCACUGCUUCCAACACCUUCUCAACUCUGGAGCCAUCAAUACCCUGAUUCAAGAUUUUUGAGAAAGAACAUUAGACUCACUUUAUGAAGGUAAAUGAGUGAGGGAAGUUGAUAAUACCUGGUAUCCAUGAGAAAGAUGCCCUCCAUGAGGAAGGUCAAGCGCCAUGAUUCGCUCGUGAGGUUUCAGCAAUGCGGUAUACACAUGAAAA
This is a long non-coding RNA of Arachis ipaensis, 250 nucleotides long. RefSeq lists it as uncharacterized. The record is from RefSeq and is a predicted model, not a curated record. NCBI's taxonomy places the organism in Eukaryota, Viridiplantae, Streptophyta, Magnoliopsida, Fabales, Fabaceae.